AUUUCCACACCCAUGGUUGCAGGUUGGGAGAUCCUUUAUGAUACAACUGUGGGUCCUUCUGGAAGUUCCAGUUUUUUAAUAAUUAUCUUUACUCUGGAUAUACCUUUUGCUACCCCUGAUGAAGUCAAACAGACAAAACGCGUUGGAUUUAUCAGCUAUAAAUCAGUAAUCCAGUUGAUGAUAACGUUCCCUUGUGCCAAGAUUACACCUUGAUAAGGUGAGGGAGUUCGUACAUCGAUAUCACCUACUGGAUAUUUAUGGAA
Long non-coding RNA from Pseudophryne corroboree (corroboree frog), 263 nucleotides. RefSeq lists it as uncharacterized. The record is from RefSeq and is a predicted model, not a curated record. Lineage: Eukaryota; Metazoa; Chordata; Amphibia; Anura; Myobatrachidae. The transcript has 3 exons.